RNAcentral lists this transfer RNA (62 nucleotides) under Cavia porcellus (domestic guinea pig). It matches the Rfam family "tRNA". From Rfam's summary of the family: Transfer RNA (tRNA) molecules are approximately 80 nucleotides in length. Their secondary structure includes four short double-helical elements and three loops (D, anti-codon, and T loops). Lineage: Eukaryota; Metazoa; Chordata; Mammalia; Rodentia; Caviidae. The record is from Rfam by way of RNAcentral.
GGGGAUUUAGCUUAGUGGCAUAAGCACCUGCCUUACAGCAGCAGUCGUGAGUUCAAUCCCCG